This 2094-nucleotide long non-coding RNA is filed under the name Felis catus (domestic cat). RNAcentral's name for it is "lncRNA (ENSFCAG00000049246.1)". The record is from RNAcentral. Lineage: Eukaryota; Metazoa; Chordata; Mammalia; Carnivora; Felidae.
GGGGAAGUCACUUCCCUGGCCCAAGGGCCUGCAGCCAGUAGGUGGGCUGCUGGGAUGUUACCCCGGGGCCGGUCUGCCUCCAGAUGUUAAGCUUUUAGCCCCUUGAUCGCAGGAACUCCUGAAAACCCCACUUUGGGGGGCUAACGAACCACUGUGGAUCUCCGCUCGCACAGAGCAAAGGUUCCAACGGCCAAGGGUGAUCAAAAACCAAAGAUUCUUCUCCAGUGGUAACAAACUCACUUCCCAGCUGAGCUUUCAACCCAGGCUGCAGCCCCCACUUGACCUGGGCCAGGUGCCCCCCCCCCCCCCGCAGCUACAAUGACCCAGGUCCCGGGGAAAGAUGCCCACCCACAGGGGUCACCAAUGCCACCCAAGAGCCCGGCAGAUUCCCUCAGCUGCAGCUCCCAGGGCCCCCCGCCGAUUCACCCCACCAUCGGGCGUUGUUGGUUAAAGUGAAGAUUCUAGCCUCAUGACUCUCAUGAUUUGAACGUAGUGAUGAGUAAACGCGGUAUUUUUUUGACGUGGCUCCGACCGGCGAAAUGUGAUAUAAACCAUCUGCGAUCUCCCCUGAUGCCACAGUCUUAACCCCCGCUACACUCAUGUCUGUGCUAUGUCGCCCGUAGCGGACAGAAACGCCACACUGCAGUUAGCGGUAAAUGAGAGUAAAGAUGUGUUUUCCGAUCCAAGUUCAAGGGGUCAGUGGACCCGGUCGCCAGGGUCUCCAGGUCGACCAAACCUCAACGAAUCGCCCCACUUCUGCCCCAUCCUUCUUCCUCCAGACGAAACCUCGAUUCCACAUCCCAGCCUGAAAGUUGAAGAAACCUGGGCGCCCUGCAAGGUUUCUCCCUGGCCACGCCCGGGAUCAUCACAGACGCGUCUCUGUCCAAGGCUGCGGUUGCUAGUCCCCUCCUCCCUGAAGCCUCCUGUCCCCUCGGGCUGCAUCAGGUGCCUCCUCUGUCCCUCCCCAGGCUCCACCCCCCCGCCACGUGUCACUUCCAAGAUGAGAGCUGGUCACGAUGGAGGAAAGCUGUCCGGUGUCUCUCUUCCCCGCACCGCGCCCAGCACGGAGGACGCGUGCUGUCCACGGAGGGAGGAGGGGUGUGCGCCCUCAGCCUCCUUCAGACUCAGCUUCUAGAUGAAUAGCAGGUGGCCGGCCAGGUGCCAGCGGGUUGGCCAGAGCCCAGGCGGGGCGGCCGUGGGUCAGAGUCAGAUUGUCACGCCAGAGAGGACGACAGCCGGUGGCGGCCACUUCCUCGUCUGCAGCUGGGCCGCCCCGCCUCCCCGACCAGGUGGAGACCUCCAGAUAUCCUGGGAACCACCAAGGGCACCGGGCAAGCCAGGAAAACUAAUCCCGCUGAGGAGACCCAAGCCAGCCCUCUCCAUGCUUGUCUUCCUCUGUGGGACCCUUGCCUCUACCAAGUUCAGCCAUCAUCCGUUGUUCGCCCCCCGACGUACGUGAUGAAGUUCACAGCAGUAAGUACCCGCCAACACUGUUGGUUGCCCACCCAGCAGUCACUUCCCCCUUCUUCCUUGCUCCCCAAACCAUCCAGCCAGUCCCAGGGGAUGCGUCUUGAUUGGUCUAAGCCAGUGCCCUCUUGCCAGUGAUUGGUCUAGAGGUGGGCAUGUGACCCAGGCUUGGCCAAUUAAACAGCAAGGGAAGUCUGCUAAGGGACUCUGGGAAGACUGUCUUCCUCUUAUUAAGAGAGAGACGGGCCGGGAAAAGAGUUUUUUAAUCUUCUUUCUCCCCUCCUGCUCUGGACACUGUUGUCUGAGGUUGUGAUUUCUGGAGCUACGGUGCCCAGAUGUUUGGAUCCCCCAGUCUAGAUGUGGCUGUGAAGGCGUUUUUAGAUGUGAUUAGCAUUGACAUAAGUAGACUGAUUAAGCAGAUUGCCCUCCGUAAUGAGGGUGGGCCUGAUCCAAUCAGCUGAAGGUGGGGGGGGGGAGAGGGGGGGAAGGCAAAUAUGGUAAAAAUGUUAACAUGUGAAGAAUCUGGGUGAAGGGUGUACAAGAAUGUAUUGCAUCCUUCACAAUUUCUCUGUAUGCCCCAAAUGAAUUUAAAAUAAAAAGUUAACCCCCCCCCGAAAAGGCGGGGGG